Molecule: unclassified non-coding RNA, 240 nt
Filed under: Magnohelicospora sp.
Lineage: Eukaryota; Fungi; Ascomycota; Dothideomycetes; Venturiales; Venturiaceae
Also listed under: 1 other name
Description: partial contains 5.8S ribosomal RNA, internal transcribed spacer 2, and large subunit ribosomal RNA
Source: RNAcentral
AACGCACAUUGCGCCCCCUGGUAUUCCGGGGGGCACACCUGUUCGAGCGCCAUUUCUACCCUAGAGCCCUGCUCUGUGAUGGGCCCCGUCCUCGCGGACGGGCCCGAAACCCGUGGGCGCCGUCGUCCGGCCCUGAGCGUAGCAAGAGAAAUCCCUCGCUCGGAGUGUCUGAUGGUGGCCGCCCCGACCUAUUUUUACAAGGUUGGCCUCGGAUCAGGUGGGGAUACCCGCUGAACUUAA